CACCUUAAUUCUUUGGGUUAGAACUGUAGCGAGUUGGCAGCCUCGUGAAGGCUAGGUUGAAAGCUCUGCCCAUAAUCCCUCCUUUCAUGCACCAAAUCUCUCCUUUCCUGCACCAAAUCCCAUAACAAAGCUCCAUCUUUAGCUAUGCUUCUACUCCGUUUUCUUCCUUGGUUUCUGCAUGAGCUUAAAAUGGUAAGUUUCUUCAUGCACGUUAAAACAAGGUGCGGGACUUAAGGUUGGGCUAUGUCAAUGCAUGAAUCUAGGCAAAUUGGGUU
This 275-nucleotide long non-coding RNA is filed under the name Malus domestica (apple). RNAcentral's name for it is "long non-coding RNA (MDOM_LNC007783)". Lineage: Eukaryota; Viridiplantae; Streptophyta; Magnoliopsida; Rosales; Rosaceae. The record is from RNAcentral.